RNAcentral lists this ribosomal RNA (248 nucleotides) under uncultured Phycisphaerae bacterium. Its description in RNAcentral is "partial 16S ribosomal RNA". It matches the Rfam family "Bacterial small subunit ribosomal RNA", at positions 356 to 621 of the family's 1533-position model. Lineage: Bacteria; Pseudomonadati; Planctomycetota; Phycisphaerae. The record is from RNAcentral.
AACGAAUCUUCCGCAAUGCACGAAAGUGUGACGGAGCGACGCCGCGUGUGGGAUGAAGUCCCUCGGGAUGUAAACCACUGUCAGGGGAAAGAAAGUUCUGAUCUACCCCAGAGGAAGUGGCGACUAACUCUGUGCCAGCAGUCGCGGUAAUACAGAGGCCACAAGCGUUAGGCGGAAUCACUGGGCUUAAAGCGUGUGUAGGCGGGUUGGUAAGAAACUUGUGAAAUCCCACGGGUGAAACGGGGAAC